RNAcentral lists this ribosomal RNA (427 nucleotides) under uncultured Nitrosospira sp. RNAcentral describes it as "bacterial SSU rRNA". It matches the Rfam family "Bacterial small subunit ribosomal RNA", at positions 355 to 774 of the family's 1533-position model. The record is from RNAcentral. Lineage: Bacteria; Pseudomonadati; Pseudomonadota; Betaproteobacteria; Nitrosomonadales; Nitrosomonadaceae. RNAcentral also lists the same sequence under 1 other name.
UGGGGAAUUUUGGACAAUGGGGGAAACCCUGAUCCAGCCAUGCCGCGUGAGUGAAGAAGGCCUUCGGGUUGUAAAGCUCUUUCAGCCGGAACGAAACGGUCACGGCUAAUACCUGUGACUACUGACGGUACCGGAAGAAGAAGCACCGGCUAACUACGUGCCAGCAGCCGCGGUAAUACGUAGGGUGCAAGCGUUAAUCGGAAUUACUGGGCGUAAAGCGUGCGCAGGCGGUUUUGUAAGUCAGAUGUGAAAUCCCCGGGCUUAACCUGGGAACUGCGUUUGAAACUACAAGGCUAGAGUGUGGCAGAGGGGGGUGGAAUUCCACGUGUAGCAGUGAAAUGCGUAGAGAUGUGGAGGAACACCGAUGGCGAAGGCAGCCCCCUGGGUUAACACUGACGCUCAGGCACGAAAGCGUGGGGAGCAAACA